UACGUAGGGGGCAAGCGUUGUCCGGAUUUAUUGGGCGUAAAGAGCUCGUAGGCGGUUCCGUAAGUCGUGAAGUCAAAUCUCUGGGCUCAACCCAGAAUCGCUUCCGAUACUGCGGUGACUGGAGUCCGGUAGGGGAGUGUGGAAUUCUUGGUGUAGCGGUGAAAUGCGCAGAUAUCAGGAGGAACACCAACAGCGAAGGCAGCACUCUGGGCCGGUACUGACGCUGAGGAGCGAAAGCAUGGGGAGCGAACAGG
This 254-nucleotide ribosomal RNA is filed under the name uncultured bacterium. RNAcentral describes it as "partial 16S ribosomal RNA". It matches the Rfam family "Bacterial small subunit ribosomal RNA", at positions 524 to 776 of the family's 1533-position model. The record is from RNAcentral.